CCUCUCUCUCUCUGUCUCUUCACUUCAGUCUCAGCCUAAUUCAUCGAUCUGAACCUUCAGCUAGCUUACUCGAUCUGGGCAGGACUGGAGUCUCACCGAUUCUCACCGAUCCGCCGCUUCUGAGCUCUUCACCCAGGGAUCCUUCGACAGAUAGUGCAUGGGGACAAGUGUUGAAGCCAAUUAAUGGAUGACUACAUUGUUGGGGAACUGCUGGAUGCCUGGAUUGAAGACUGGAAGAAUGGCUACUAAGUUGCUGUAUUUGAAUUAGGACUUUCUAAUUUCUAUUUCAUUGCAUAUUUGUACUUGAAUUUGGACUUCAUAUUUAAAUUUGGACACUUUGUAUUUCAAUUGUAGCUUUAAUUGUUCUUGAAGAGUACUUGAAUUUGGAUAUUAUGUAUUCUGGAUAUUCGAAUUUGCAGCUUGAACUUUGGAUUUUGAUAGUGUUUUAAUUCAAAUUUUCACCAGGU
RNAcentral lists this long non-coding RNA (467 nucleotides) under Rosa chinensis. RNAcentral's name for it is "sRNA RchiOBHm_Chr4g0413461". The record is from RNAcentral. Lineage: Eukaryota; Viridiplantae; Streptophyta; Magnoliopsida; Rosales; Rosaceae.